GUCGUUUAGGCGGAGUGGUUAACGCGCUGGCCUGCUAGUCGUCUAAACAGUCGAAAGCUAGCCAGUUCCUUCGGGAGCGUGAGUUCGAAUCUCACAGGUGUCG
This is a non-coding RNA of Paraphoma chrysanthemicola, 103 nucleotides long. Lineage: Eukaryota; Fungi; Ascomycota; Dothideomycetes; Pleosporales; Phaeosphaeriaceae. The record is from the annotation of a GenBank genome assembly.